This 657-nucleotide ribosomal RNA is filed under the name uncultured bacterium. Its description in RNAcentral is "bacterial SSU rRNA". It matches the Rfam family "Bacterial small subunit ribosomal RNA", at positions 1 to 660 of the family's 1533-position model. The record is from RNAcentral.
GAAUUCGCCCUUAGAGUUUGAUCCUGGCUCAGGACGAACGUUGGCGGUGCGCUUAAUGCAUGCAAGUCGAGGGAAAACCAGUCGUUCCGUAAGGUUCGGCUGGGGAAACCGGCGAACGGGUGCGUAACACGUGAGAAACCUGCCCCGAAGAUCGGGAUAGCCCGGGGAAACCCGGAUUAAUACCGAAUAUCCUCUUUGGACCACAUGGUCUGUUGAGGAAAUGGUCCGCCGCUUCGGGAUGGUCUCGCGGCCUAUCAGCUUGUUGGUGAGGUAAUGGCUCACCAAGGCGAAGACGGGUAGCUGGUCUGAGAGGACGAUCAGCCACACUGGGACUGAGACACGGCCCAGACUCCUACGGGAGGCAGCAGCAGGGAAUAUUGCACAAUGGGCGAAAGCCUGAUGCAGCGACACCGCGUGCGGGAUGAAGGCCUUCGGGUUGUAAACCGCUUUCAGGAGGGACGAAAAUGACGGUACCUCCAGAAGAAGGCCCGGCCAACUACGUGCCAGCAGCCGCGGUAAUACGUAGGGGCCAAACGUUGUCCGGAUUUAUUGGGCGUAAAGGGCUCGUAGGCGGUUCAACAAGUCGAUCGUGAAAACCCGGGGCUCAACCCCGGGACGCCGGUCGAAACUGUUGUGACUAGAGUUCGGUAGAGGUGA